RNAcentral lists this ribosomal RNA (729 nucleotides) under Tricholoma lascivum. Its description in RNAcentral is "eukaryotic LSU rRNA". The stretch from base 316 to 469 matches the Rfam family "5.8S ribosomal RNA". The record is from RNAcentral. Lineage: Eukaryota; Fungi; Basidiomycota; Agaricomycetes; Agaricales; Tricholomataceae.
UCUUGUUCAUUUAGAGGAGUAAAAGUCGUAACAAGGUUUCCGUAGGUGAACCUGCGGGAAGGAUCAUUAAUGAGCAAGCUUGGUUGGGUUGUCGCUGGCUCUCCGGGGCAUGUGCACGCCUAAACACCAGUCUUUCUUUAACCACCUGUGCACCUUUUUGUAGAUUUGGAUACCUCUCGAGGAACCCUCGGUUUGAGGACUGCUGUGCGACAAGCUAGCUUUCCUUGCAUUUGCAGUCUAUGUUUUUAUAAUAUACCCCUCUACAGUAUGUCUCAGAAUGCUAUUAAUUGGCUUUAAAUGCCUUUAAACUUAUACAACUUUCAACAACGGAUCUCUUGGCUCUCGCAUCGAUGAAGAACGCAGCGAAAUGCGAUAAGUAAUGUGAAUUGCAGAAUUCAGUGAAUCAUCGAAUCUUUGAACGCACCUUGCGCUCCUUGGUAUUCCGAGGAGCAUGCCUGUUUGAGUGUCAUGAAAUUCUCAACCUUUUCAACCUUUUUGGUGGAUUAGGAUUGGAUGUGGGAGCUUGCGGGCUUUUUCAGAAGUCGGCUCUCCUUAAAUGCAUUAGUGGGACCUUUGGUAGCCCUCAGCUUUGGUGUGAUAAUUAUCUAUGCCAUUUGCUCAAGCAGUAUACAAUGAGGUCUUGCUUCUAAUGGUUUCUCUUAGAGACACCUUCUGACAAUUUGACCUCAAAUCAGGUAGGACUACCCGCUGAACUUAAGCAUAUCAAUA